UAUACAAAAUUUUAUACGAAUCACGGCCCCCUUUUUUUAUUUCCUUAAUUGAAUUUCGUUUGAUUUUGAUUAGGGCAAAGUUACUUAAAAACCUCCGCCUUCUUUAAAAUAUCCCGAACAGUUCCUGUCGGCUGAGCGCCUUUUUCAAGGAAAUAUAGAAUAGCGGGAACAUUUAAACAACUUUGAUUCUUUAUCGGAUCAUAAAAACCCACUUUCCGAAGAUCUCUUCCUUCUCUUCGGGAUCGAACAUCAAUUGCAACGAUUCGAUAGACGGCUCAUUGGGAUAGAUGUUAGUAAAUGAACAAGACCCCCCCCCCUAGAAAUGUAUAGGAAGUUUUCUCCUCGUACGACUCGAGAAAAAAUGAUUCGAGGUUUUGUCUAUGUAUAGAAUUCUAAUGAAUGACAAAAGGGUUGAUAAAAUCAAUUAGACUAGGAUUUCACUCAUUUUUUUCUUCGUUCUUCCUGAAAAAAAAAGAAAAAAUCAUUUGUACUCAUAACUCAAGUUGGAUAAUUCUCAAAUAGCUCAAAAGAAAAUCAAAUCUUUAAGCAAUUUAUUUCAUUUAUUGAAUGGUCUUUAACCCCCCUUUUGUUUGUCUCGUUUAAAAUACAAUCAUCUAUUUGGAUUUGGAUUCUUUAGUCUGAUCCAGUUAUUGAGACAAUGGAAACGGCGUUUCCUUGUUCUGGGAUCCUUUUUCUUUGUUUUAAAUCAUUGGGUUUAGACAUUACUUCGGUGCUUCUUAAUCCUUCCAACAAAAUGGCAGCAACAUACCCCUUUUGUGAUUUCUUUCUAUCAAAGAAUCAUACGAAUGGUUGAUUCCCCGCGAUACACUUUGAAUCGAAAGAGUUUUAUCAAUUCCAACAAAAUUUCCUUUUGAAUUGAAAACUUGCCCGAAUCGGAUCCUUUCGAUUUCUAUAUUGAUGAUAUAUUUACGAAGUUGUUCCAAUUUAUUGAUUGGCAUUAACCCUAGAUCCUUGCCCCUGAAAGCUGAAUCAAUACUUUACUACUCGAGCUCCAUCAUGUACUAUUUACAUUACAACCCAACAAAAAGAGGGGUUCUAGUGGAACAGAACAAACGAUGUCGGGCCAAGAGCACCUUCAUUCCUAUAUAAAAUGGCGGAUGUAAGAAUAAGAGAAUCCACACCGGAUCGUGUCCUUCAAGUCGCACGUUGCUUUCUACCACAUCGUUUCAAACGAAGUUUUACCAUAACAUUCCUCUAAUUUGGAGCCAGUAUGGAAUUGAUUCAAUUAUGGAAUCAUGAAUAGUCAUUGGUUCAGUCGGUACAUAGCCAUAUUAAUCUAUACCUUUUUUCUUCUAUACAUAGAUGAUUUUUCUGAAGAAAUCUUAGCAAGACCCCACCUUUUAUUGUAUAAAUGCAACUUUUUUUAUAAAAAAACAAACUAACAGAAAUAACAUAACUAACAUAAAUAACACGAAUAAAUGAAUUCUUUUCAACCCUGCAUCUUCAAGUGACUCAAUAGAAGAGAUUGACCCAUCUCCGACUUCUUUGAAUACCAAAGAUUCAACUCAUAAGGAAUCAUUCAAAAUUUUUAUAAUCGAACGGGUUUCCUAUUUCGACAUCAUUUUUGGAAUAAAGUUUUACGGUAAAGACUACACUUGAUCAUCAUAAAAAAAAAGAGAAUCAUCAUAAAAAAAAAGAGAAAUAUCUCUUUCUUUUCGAAUUGAAUCAUCAAUGAUUUAAAGCCGAUAAAUAGAUUGAACAAGAAACCCAAAUUUUUUCGUGAGAUGAAUAAAAAAGACUGAUAUAAGAGAAGAUUUAGGUCCUUAGUCGUUCGAUUCUUAUUUUAUUAAUCAGACGAACGAGUAGGGGUUUUUCGUAUCUAUCAGAUAGAUUGAACAACUGUCACUGUUAUGGAUAUUCUAUGUUUUGGAUAUUCUAUAUUAAAUAUUUCAAUAUUUAAGGGAUUCCAUUUCUUUUUCACAAAAAUGGAAAGGCUGUUGUCACUGAACGUUGUCACUAAAAUAGAACGAAAUCGAAUAAUAAAAAUACAUAUAUAUUACAUAUUAAGUUAAACG
RNAcentral lists this long non-coding RNA (2036 nucleotides) under Panax ginseng (ginseng). RNAcentral describes it as "long non-coding RNA (PGIN_LNC015784)". The record is from RNAcentral. Lineage: Eukaryota; Viridiplantae; Streptophyta; Magnoliopsida; Apiales; Araliaceae.